This 254-nucleotide ribosomal RNA is filed under the name uncultured bacterium. Its description in RNAcentral is "partial 16S ribosomal RNA". It matches the Rfam family "Bacterial small subunit ribosomal RNA", at positions 524 to 776 of the family's 1533-position model. The record is from RNAcentral.
UACGUAGGGGGCAAGCGUUGUCCGGAUUUAUUGGGCGUAAAGAGCGUGUAGGCGGCCAUACAGGUCAGCUGUGAAAACUCGAGGCUCAACCUCGAGACGUCGGUUGAAACCGUAUGGCUAGAGUCCGGAAGAGGAGAGUGGAAUUCCCGGUGUAGCGGUGAAAUGCGCAGAUAUCGGGAAGAACACCCGUGGCGAAGGCGGCUCUCUGGGACGGUUUCUGACGCUAAGACGCGAAAGCGUGGGGAGCAAACAGG